AGAGUUUGAUCCUGGCUCAGAACGAACGCUGGCGGCGUGCUUAACACAUGCAAGUCGAACGUGAUCCGGAGCUUGCUCCGGUGAAAGUGGCGCACGGGUGAGUAACGCGUGGAUAACCUGCCCUGGUAUCCGGAAUAACAUCUCGAAAGGGGUGCUAAUACCGGAUAAGCCUACGGAGCCUUCGGUCUCUGCAGGAAAAGGUGGCCUCUAUUUAUAAGCUACCGUAUCAGGAUGGGUCCGCGUACCAUUAGCUAGUUGGUGGGGUAAUGGCCUACCAAGGCGACGAUGGUUAGCUGGUCUGAGAGGAUGAUCAGCCACACUGGAACUGAGACACGGUCCAGACUCCUACGGGAGGCAGCAGUGGGGAAUUUUGCGCAAUGGGGGAAACCCUGACGCAGCAACGCCGCGUGAGUGAUGAAGGCUUUCGGGUCGUAAAGCUCUGUCAGAGGGGAAGAAAUGAAAACGGCUAAUACCCGUUUUUCUUGACGGUACCCUCAAAGGAAGCACCGGCUAACUCCGUGCCAGCAGCCGCGGUAAUACGGAGGGUGCAAGCGUUGUUCGGAUUUAUUGGGCGUAAAGGCGCGUGUAGGCGGUUUCUUAAGUCUGAUGUGAAAGCCCUGGGCUCAACCCAGGAAGUGCAUUGGAUACUGGGAGACUUGAAUACGGGAGAGGGUAGUGGAAUUCCUAGUGUAGGAGUGAAAUCCGUAGAUAUUAGGAGGAACACCGGUGGCGAAGGCGGCUACCUGGACCGAUAUUGACGCUGAGACGCGAAAGCGUGGGGAGCAAACAGGAUUAGAUAC
RNAcentral lists this ribosomal RNA (800 nucleotides) under uncultured bacterium. Its description in RNAcentral is "bacterial SSU rRNA". It matches the Rfam family "Bacterial small subunit ribosomal RNA", at positions 8 to 785 of the family's 1533-position model. The record is from RNAcentral.